AUAUCUUCAUUGCAAUAUGUGCCAAGCAUUGAGGAGAUGGAGUUCUAUGAAUCAAUUGAAAUGGAAAUGGGGAGUAAAACAUCCACGACAAAUUUGAAUAAGACUCUCCCUUCUUAGUGUGAUUAAGAUAUGUUGGAAGAUUACUUUGUUAAUGCUUUUGGAAGAAUGGAUGCAGCAGAUUUUUUGCAAGGACAUUAUCUUCAUGUGUAUUUUUGUGAUGGGUUGUAAUAUUUAAUUUCAUAAGUUUAAUUUGGUUUUUGUAUUAUUUUUUGUAAUGGUUUGUAAGAAAUUAUAUUUCUUUUCCUUGGUUGGUUGGUUGAAUGUGUGUGUGAGAUUUAUUUAGUUUAAAAACUUAGAUUGGAAUGAUGGAUUUUUAUAGGUUAAAUUUACAUAAUUU
This is a non-coding RNA of Prunus mume (Japanese apricot), 397 nucleotides long. NCBI's taxonomy places the organism in Eukaryota, Viridiplantae, Streptophyta, Magnoliopsida, Rosales, Rosaceae. The record is from RefSeq and is a predicted model, not a curated record.